Molecule: long non-coding RNA, 1328 nt
Organism: Olea europaea var. sylvestris
Lineage: Eukaryota; Viridiplantae; Streptophyta; Magnoliopsida; Lamiales; Oleaceae
Exons: 2
Source: RefSeq, a predicted model, not a curated record
UCCAAACUUAAAUGCAUAAAAUAAAUUGAUUUGGUCUCCAAAAAAAAAAAAAAUCCCUUUAUUUUAUAAUCUGAGUCAAUGCUUGGUUAAUCCCAGGCACAGCAACACCACUUAUGAUCCAACCACUUAGGAUCCAACCAUAAUUUUGCAUAUCUGAUAUUAAAUUUUCAUUAUAUGAUGUUACAGUAAACAUGAAUACACAAGGAACAUUACAUUUCAAGAUUGAUUAUAAGCAUCAACCCACAUAUUAAUAACUUCAAAUCUGAAUAAUUUCUUUUGAAAAAUCAUGCUAUUUGAUUUUGAGCCUAACAUGUAGUGCGGGAUAAAGUGACUUAAAAUAUUAUAGUUUUGACUGGUUGAUUCUGUCAUUCACAAACAUAAAUCUCAGUGAACAACACUACAGGCCAGGUUAGCGGUUGGCUUUGAGACUUAUUGUCAGAUGGCUGGUCAAAGAACUGCAGUAGCAAUCCGUCGCCUGUAAGAACUUCAGUAGCAAUCCGUCGUCUGUAAAAACUUCUUUCUCCAUCUGACAGAUGCAAAUAUUGAUUGUAUACGAAUCAUAUGAUUUAGGUUGAAUUGGUUUUGCACUUGCAACAAUAGGACGUAUGUGAGAAACUGGCGGAUGACCUGAUCAUGCAAUCAGCCUUGUAUUUUCUGUUUCUUACAUUUGAAUGAAUAUUUAGCUAAUCUGACAUUUUUCCCCAUUUUCCACAUGCAGGUUCAUCAUGCUACGAUCAUAGCCAUAUGGUUUGUAAAUUCCAUCAAAAUAAAUAUGUUUUGAGAUUUAUUCGGCAAUCAAUGAAGAAGUGACAUUAGCUUAUUCAGACAAGACUGCGAAGAUAAUUACGCAACAGACUUGGAUUCUUCUUGAAUUUUGGGACUUGUUCGAGGGCUUCAACGUACGCGGGUGAUAAUCUCCCAGUUAUUUUGGAGAUAUGGGCAAUUGCACGCAAACGGUCUCUACACCGAAGAAUCUUCAUCUUUGGUUGAGGCUCUGGCGGCGGAUCGAAGAUGAGCAUUACACAAGAUGCGAUGAGAGGUCGUGUUGUUUCAUCUCGACCAGCAGUUGGGAUGGCUGGGGAAGAAGCUGGUGGUAUGGCUGGGGAAGAAGCUAGCGGGAUGGCUGAGGAAGAAGACAGGAGCAUUGCAGCUGUAAUGAAAGUGAGAAUGUCCAUCAAUUUUGUUUUCUUGGUGUACGCUGCCUUUCAUGGCUCAUCUUCUUGCCUUAUAAACUUCAGUUUUGCAUUAAAAUUGCAGUUAUGCGUAUUUAUUGCGACUUAAAAGAUGUAACGCCACUCUUUAUUAAUAUUUAAUACUAUUUAGUUCCA